GUAGGGAAUAUUGGUCAAUGGGUGAGAGCCUGAACCAGCCAUGCCGCGUGCAGGAAGACGGCCUUCUGGGUUGUAAACUGCUUUUGCCAGGGGCUAAAAAGCCCAUGCGUGGGAAAUUGAAAGUACCUGGUGAAUAAGCCACGGCUAACUACGUGCCAGCAGCCGCGGUAAUACGUAGGUGGCAAGCGUUGUCCGGAUUUAUUGGGUUUAAAGGGUGCGUAGGCGGCCUAUUAAGUCAGUGCUGAAAUAUCCCGGCUUAACCGGGAGGGUGGCAUUGAUACUGAUGGGCUAGAGUACAGAUGAGGUAGGCGGAAUUGACGGUGUAGCGGUGAAAUGCUUAGAUAUCGUCAAGAACACCUAUAGCGAAGGCAGCUUACUAGGCUGUAACUGACGCUGAGGCACGAAAGUGUGGGGAUCAAACAGG
Molecule: ribosomal RNA, 424 nt
Filed under: uncultured bacterium
Lineage: Bacteria
Description: bacterial SSU rRNA
Rfam family: Bacterial small subunit ribosomal RNA
Source: RNAcentral